RNAcentral lists this ribosomal RNA (404 nucleotides) under Verrucomicrobiota bacterium. RNAcentral's name for it is "Verrucomicrobia bacterium partial 16S ribosomal RNA". It matches the Rfam family "Bacterial small subunit ribosomal RNA", at positions 355 to 776 of the family's 1533-position model. The record is from RNAcentral. Lineage: Bacteria; Pseudomonadati; Verrucomicrobiota.
UGGGGAAUAUUACACAAUGGGGGAAACCCUGAUGCAGCGACGCCGCGUGAGCGAUGAAGGCUUUCGAGUCGUAAAGCUCUGUCCUAUGGGAAGAUAAUGACGGUACCAUAGAAGAAAGCCCCGGCUAAUUACGUGCCAGCAGCCGCGGUAAUACGUAAGGGGCGAGCGUUGUCCGGAAUUAUUGGGCGUAAAGAGUGCGUAGGCGGCAAAUUAAGUCAGAUGUGAAAACUAAGGGCUCAACCCAUAGAUUGCAUCUGAAACUGAUAUGCUUGAGUCAAGGAGAGAAAAGUGGAAGUCCUAGUGUAGCGGUGAAAUGCGUAGAGAUUAGGAGGAACACCGGUGGCGAAAGCGGCUUUUUGGCCUGCAACUGACACUGAGGCGCGAAAGCGUGGGGAGCAAACAGG